AUUGAACGCUGGCGGCAGGCCUAACACAUGCAAGUCGAACGAGUGGCGGACGGGUGAGUAAUGUCUGGGAAACUGCCUGAUGGAGGGGGAAAACUACUGGAAACGGUAGCUAAUACCGCAUACCAUCAGAUGUGCCCAGCUGGGAUUAGCUAGUUGGUGGGGUAACGGCUCACCAGGGCGACGAUCCCUAGCUGGUCGGAGAGGAUGACCAGCCACACUGGAACUGAGACACGGUCCAGACUCCUACGGGAGGCAGCAGUGGGGAAUAUUGGACAAUGGGUGCAAGCCUGAUGCAGCCAUGCCGCGUGUGUGAAGAAGGCCUUCGGGUUGUAAAGUACUUUCAGCGGGGAGGCGUUACCCGCAGAAGAAGCACCGGCUAACUCCGUGCCAGCAGCCGCGGUAAUUC
This 406-nucleotide ribosomal RNA is filed under the name uncultured bacterium. RNAcentral's name for it is "partial 16S ribosomal RNA". It matches the Rfam family "Bacterial small subunit ribosomal RNA", at positions 30 to 526 of the family's 1533-position model. The record is from RNAcentral.